Molecule: small nucleolar RNA, 73 nt
Organism: Spea bombifrons (plains spadefoot toad)
Lineage: Eukaryota; Metazoa; Chordata; Amphibia; Anura; Pelobatidae
Product: small nucleolar RNA SNORD81
Exons: 1
Source: RefSeq, a predicted model, not a curated record
UGGGGAAAAUGAUGACAUUGACUUUGAACUCUCUCACUGAGAUUCAGAUGACUAUAAAAGUACUGAUUCCCCA